Molecule: ribosomal RNA, 449 nt
Filed under: uncultured bacterium
Lineage: Bacteria
Description: partial 16S ribosomal RNA
Rfam family: Bacterial small subunit ribosomal RNA
Source: RNAcentral
AACGAACGCUGGCGGCAUGCCUAAUACAUGCAAGUCGAACGAUCACUUCGGUGGUAGUGGCGCACGGGUGCGUAACGCGUGGGAAUCUGCCCUUGGGUUCGGAAUAACGUCGGGAAACUGACGCUAAUACCGGAUGAUGACGUAAGUCCAAAGAUUUAUCGCCCAGGGAUGAGCCCGCGUAGGAUUAGCUAGUUGGUGGGGUAAAGGCUUACCAAGGCGACGAUCCUUAGCUGGUCUGAGAGGAUGAUCAGCCACACUGGGACUGAGACACGGCCCAGACUCCUACGGGAGGCAGCAGUAGGGAAUAUUGGACAAUGGGGGCAACCCUGAUCCAGCAAUGCCGCGUGAGUGAUGAAGGCCUUAGGGUUGUAAAGCUCUUUUACCCGGGAUGAUAAUGACAGUACCGGGAGAAUAAGCCCAGGCUAACUCCGUGCCAGCCGCCGCCGUAA